This 218-nucleotide long non-coding RNA is filed under the name Carica papaya (papaya). RNAcentral's name for it is "long non-coding RNA (CPAP_LNC009794)". Lineage: Eukaryota; Viridiplantae; Streptophyta; Magnoliopsida; Brassicales; Caricaceae. The record is from RNAcentral.
CGCUUGUCUUGUCGCAUGCAGACAGGCCGUCCGAACGUCACCUCGCGCGCGAACAAGCGCUGCACACUGUUUGCGUGCCGUCCGCACAGUAGGCCUGCGUGAAUAAGACCUGUGCACCUGCAGGCUAGCGUGUAGUGCACCGCCAUUGCCUUGGGCGGCACGCCACCUCCAUCGGUGGAGAAGGCCUUCCUCCCUCAUUUUUGUUGCCAAACAUCUUU